Molecule: ribosomal RNA, 254 nt
Filed under: uncultured bacterium
Lineage: Bacteria
Description: partial 16S ribosomal RNA
Rfam family: Bacterial small subunit ribosomal RNA
Source: RNAcentral
GACGUAGGGCGCAAGCGUUGUCCGGAUUUAUUGGGCGUAAAGAGCUCGUAGGCGGUGUGUCGCGUCGGCCGUGAAAACCUGCAGCUUAACUGUGGGCUUGCGGUCGAUACGGGCAUCACUGGAGUUCGGCAGGGGAGACUGGAAUUCCUGGUGUAGCGGUGAAAUGCGCAGAUAUCAGGAGGAACACCGGUGGCGAAGGCGGGUCUCUGGGCCGAUAUUGACGCUGAGGAGCGAAAGCCAGGGGAGCAAACGGG